AUGUGCUUGUCCUCGGGACACAUAAGGAAUGAAUCCAGGCCUCAGUCCUGGCCUCCUCCCCAAGGCUGGGUGCUCAGGCGUCCCCUUCAGCCCCUUUCUCUAGACCUUCCGGCUGAACAAACGAAAACAUCUCACAGCCCUGCAACAGCCAGGAGCUGCUCGUGGAGCUCCACGCCCGGCUGGAGAGAGAGGAGGCGCCCUGGGCAGCCCGCCAGCACCCGGGCUCUCACAGCGGAAGCCCACGUCUUCUUGGGCUCUAUUUUGAAAGCUGUUCUUUCCACGAUGGCUUUGACAAGAAUCGAUUUGAGUGAGCCGGCGUGUCAAUACAGGCCAGCACAGGACUGGCCUCAGGGCCACAUUGGGGAGGGUGGCGACCAGGCCCUGGCUGCAGCCCACGUGGGCAAAAGCAUGGCCAGGCAGGAGGUGGGGCCUGUGAGCUUGGCUACAGCGACCGUAGGCGCUGGGCCCGGGGCUCCUCAGCCCUGAGGGGGGACCCAGGCCCAGGCAGGCUCCCAGGCGGGCUCCCGGGCUCCCAGCCUUCCGAUCUUCUACCUUUGAGACCUUGCCUUCUGCACAGUGACAGGAAAGAGCCCUGAGUUCCACUUUGCAGGGAUGUAUUGCAUUUCCAGAAAGUUCCUUCCGGGUGCAGAGUGAUACGUGAACCCUGGGGACUCGCUCCAACUUGGUAUUGAUUUUCUCCACGGAGGACCCAGCAGUCACGGCCCGUGUCUGCACAGCCCCUUGGAUCCUGCGGAGGAAUUCAGCCGGCCCCUCCCCCUGUGCCGAAAACCACGGAGGCAAAGCCAGGCCAG
Molecule: long non-coding RNA, 812 nt
Organism: Gorilla gorilla gorilla (western lowland gorilla)
Lineage: Eukaryota; Metazoa; Chordata; Mammalia; Primates; Hominidae
Exons: 1
Source: RefSeq, a predicted model, not a curated record